GCAGUCGAGCGGAACGAGUUAUCUGAACCUUCGGGGGACGAUAACGGCGUCGAGCGGCGGACGGGUGAGUAAUGCCUAGGAAAUUGCCCUGAUGUGGGGGAUAACCAUUGGAAACGAUGGCUAAUACCGCAUAAUGCCUACGGGCCAAAGAGGGGGACCUUCGGGCCUCUCGCGUCAGGAUAUGCCUAGGUGGGAUUAGCUAGUUGGUGAGGUAAGGGCUCACCAAGGCGACGAUCCCUAGCUGGUCUGAGAGGAUGAUCAGCCACACUGGAACUGAGACACGGUCCAGACUCCUACGGGAGGCAGCAGUGGGGAAUAUUGCACAAUGGGCGCAAGCCUGAUGCAGCCAUGGCGCGUGUGUGAAGAAGGCCUUCGGGUUGUAAAGCACUUUCAGUCGUGAGGAAGGUAGUGUAGUUAAUAGCUGCAUUAUUUGACGUUAGCGACAGAAGAAGCACCGGCUAACUCCGUGCCAGCAGCCGCGGUAAUACGGAGGGUGCGAGCGUUAAUCGGAAUUACUGGGCGUAAAGCGCAUGCAGGUGGUUUGUUAAGUCAAAUGUGAAAGCCCGGGGGCUCAACCUCGGAAUUGCAUUUUGAAACUGGCA
RNAcentral lists this ribosomal RNA (602 nucleotides) under uncultured bacterium. RNAcentral describes it as "bacterial SSU rRNA". It matches the Rfam family "Bacterial small subunit ribosomal RNA", at positions 57 to 638 of the family's 1533-position model. The record is from RNAcentral.